Vulpes vulpes (red fox) is the source of this 106-nucleotide small nuclear RNA. The record is from Ensembl. NCBI's taxonomy places the organism in Eukaryota, Metazoa, Chordata, Mammalia, Carnivora, Canidae.
GUGCUCGCUUUGGCAGCACAUAUACUAAAAUUGGAACAAUACAGAGAAGAUUAGCAUAGCCCUACAAAAGGAUGAAUUGUGUACAUAUAAAUCUUCACAUUCACUA